CAAAGAUUUGGUCCUGGUCUUACUAUCAUUUUUCAACUAAACUUACACAUGCAAGUAUCCGCGCUCCGGUGAAAAUGCCCUUAAUCUUCCUAGUAGAAGACGAGGAGCCGGCAUCAGGCUCGUGUUCACGGCCCAAGACGCCUUGCUUUGCCACACCCCCACGGGAUUUCAGCAGUGAUAAACAUUAGGCAAUCAGCGAAAGCUAGACCUAGUUAUGGUUAAAUAGAGCCGGUAAAACUCGUGCCAGCCACCGCGGUUAUACGAGGGGCUCAAAAUGAUAGUCAUUCGGCGUAUGGUGUGGUUAACAAUCAAAUUAUAAACUGAGAACAAAAUACCUUUAAGCUGUCAUACGCUAAUAAGUAUAUGAAAACCAAUAACGAAAGUUAUCUCAUUAAAUGUGAAUCCACGAAAACCAAGGCACAAACUGGGAUUAGAUACCCCACUAUGCUUGGAACUAAACUAAGGCGGCACAAAUACUAAGCCGCUCGCCAGGUUACUACGAGCGCAAGCUUAAAACCCAAAGGACUUGGCGGUGCUUCAGAACCACCUAGAGGAGCCUGUUCUAUAAUCGAUAAUCCUCGUUCAACCUCACCACAUCUUGCAUUCAGCCUAUAUACCGCCGUCGCCAGCCUACCUUUUGAAAGACCCUAAGUAGGCAUAAUAAGCAUAGCUUAAUACGUCAGGUCAAGGUGUAGCUUAUGAUGUGGGAAGAAAUGGGCUACAUUUUCUAAAUUAGAACAUACGGACGACACUAUGAAACCUGUGUCUGAAGGAGGAUUUAGCAGUAAGUGGGGAGUAGAGUGCCCCACUGAAGCUUGGCGCUGAAGCGCGCACACACCGCCCGUCACUCUCCUCGAAACAACCUACACCCUUUAAUAAAACGCUAUUAACAAGAAGAGGAGGCAAGUCGUAACAUGGUAAGCGUACCGGAAGGUGUGCUUGGAAUAAU
This 949-nucleotide non-coding RNA is filed under the name Polypterus palmas polli. Its description in RNAcentral is "12S ribosomal RNA". It matches the Rfam family "Bacterial small subunit ribosomal RNA". Lineage: Eukaryota; Metazoa; Chordata; Cladistia; Polypteriformes; Polypteridae. The record is from RNAcentral.